GACGAACGCUGGCGGCGUGCUUAACACAUGCAAGUCGAACGAUGAUGCCCAGCUUGCUGGGUGGAUUAGUGGCGAACGGGUGAGUAACACGUGAGUAACCUGCCCCUGACUCUGGGAUAAGCGUUGGAAACGACGUCUAAUACUGGAUAUGAUCACUGGCCGAAUGGUCUGGUGGUGGAAAGAUUUUUUGGUUGGGGAUGGACUCGCGGCCUAUCAGCUUGUUGGGGAGGUAAUGGCUCACCAAGGCGACGACGGGUAGCCGGCCUGAGAGGGUGACCGGCCACACUGGGACUGAGACACGGCCCAGACUCCUACGGGAGGCAGCAGUGGGGAAUAUUGCACAAUGGGCGAAAGCCUGAUGCAGCAACGCCGCGUGAGGGAUGACGGCCUUCGGGUUGUAAACCUCUUUUAGUAGGGAAGAAGCGAAAGUGACGGUACCUGCAGAAAAAGCACCGGCUAACUACGUGCCAGCCGCCGCGGUAA
RNAcentral lists this ribosomal RNA (483 nucleotides) under uncultured bacterium. RNAcentral describes it as "partial 16S ribosomal RNA". It matches the Rfam family "Bacterial small subunit ribosomal RNA", at positions 28 to 523 of the family's 1533-position model. The record is from RNAcentral.